GGAAUAUAAAAAUCCGUCUCCUAACUUUUAACUAAAAAAACUAAGAACCGGCUCUUAAAUAGUUUUUUUAAGAGCCGGUUUUUAAGAGCCGGUUUUUUAGUUUUUCUAGUUAAAAGUUAAGAGACGGGUUCUUAUAUUCC
This is a non-coding RNA of Brassica napus (rape), 140 nucleotides long. The record is from Rfam. NCBI's taxonomy places the organism in Eukaryota, Viridiplantae, Streptophyta, Magnoliopsida, Brassicales, Brassicaceae.